RNAcentral lists this transfer RNA (61 nucleotides) under Phymaturus extrilidus. Its description in RNAcentral is "partial tRNA-Leu". Lineage: Eukaryota; Metazoa; Chordata; Lepidosauria; Squamata. The record is from RNAcentral.
AGGCUGUGGCUCUAAAAACAGAAGUUUAAAUCUUCUUGCAAACCGAGGCGUGUUUUGAACA